RNAcentral lists this ribosomal RNA (732 nucleotides) under uncultured bacterium. RNAcentral describes it as "bacterial SSU rRNA". It matches the Rfam family "Bacterial small subunit ribosomal RNA", at positions 771 to 1501 of the family's 1533-position model. The record is from RNAcentral.
AACAGGAUUAGAUACCCUGGUAGUCCACGCUGUAAACGAUGUCAACUAGCCGUUGGUCCUUCAAGGAGGAUUAGUGGCGCAGCUAACGCAUUAAGUUGACCGCCUGGGGAGUACGGCCGCAAGGUUAAAACUCAAAUGAAUUGACGGGGGCCCGCACAAGCGGUGGAGCAUGUGGUUUAAUUCGAUGCAACGCGAAGAACCUUACCUACCCUUGACAUCCAAUGAAUCUCGCGGAGACGUGAGAGUGCCUUCGGGAACAUUGAGACAGGUGCUGCAUGGCUGUCGUCAGCUCGUGUUGUGAAAUGUUGGGUUAAGUCCCGUAACGAGCGCAACCCUUAUCCUUAGUUGCCAACAGGUCAAGCUGGGAACUCUAGGGAGACUGCCGCUGAUAAAGCGGAGGAAGGUGGGGACGACGUCAAGUCAUCAUGGCCCUUAUGGGUAGGGCUACACACGUGCUACAAUGGCCGGUACAGAGGGCAGCGAAACCGCGAGGUCAAGCAAAUCCCAGAAAGCCGGUCUUAGUCCGGAUUGGAGUCUGCAACUCGACUCCAUGAAGUCGGAAUCGCUAGUAAUCGCGAAUCAGAAUGUCGCGGUGAAUACGUUCCCGGGCCUUGUACACACCGCCCGUCACACCAUGGGAGUGGGUUGCAAAAGAAGUCGGUAGUCUAACCUUCGGGAGGGCGCUGACCACUUUGUGAUUCAUGACUGGGGUGAAGUCGUAACAAGGUAACC